Molecule: long non-coding RNA, 2945 nt
Filed under: Zonotrichia albicollis (white-throated sparrow)
Lineage: Eukaryota; Metazoa; Chordata; Aves; Passeriformes; Passerellidae
Description: lncRNA (ENSZALG00000005279.1)
Source: RNAcentral
GGAGGGAAUAUAAUUAGUGUUGAUAAAAAGCAUAUUGGGUUGGUGGUGUUUAUCUUCACCAAAUUGUUUAGGCUCUCAAGUGACCCCUAAGCAAUCUCUUGGCAGACCUGAAGAAUUGAUCUCCUAUUACUCUGUGGCUGUGGAGAAUUUGAAAGAAAUCUACAGUGAAGGAUUUGAAAAAGUACAGAGGGAGCACAUAGCUCUGGCCUUCAGCCCAGGUGACUUCAGCCUCUUUUGUCUUUAAAUGUGAUUUCUUUGAGGCUUUUACUGCUGCUAGACUUUUUUUUCUCUUCUCUUUGCAAGGAAAAAGGCUGCAUGAUUAAUUCUGCUUUCAACAUUGGAUGUGAAAGUCUGCUUAGAAAGCCCCUGCAUGGAAUGGCAGCAGAGAAGAGCAAGAAGUGUCUGCUUUUUGUGAGGAGGAACACAGUGUGCUGCUUCCCCUGCCACAGCCACUGAGCCCUCACCAGCAGCCAUUCAGCUCCUUGGCCUGUGAGCCUGCCAAGAUCCAGCAGUUAUCCCAGGUUCCAGCUGCCGUGCCUGGAGAUGUGAGAAUUGUGCUCAGGCUCAUUAAACCUGCAGGACCUGGGAGCUGUGCCCGUGGUGACAGCACAGACCAUAUUCCACAUGAAACCCAAGCACUGGAGCUCCUUGGCAUGAGGCACAAGCAAGCACUCAGGAGCAGUUCCAGAGCUGACUCCAGCACGUCUCCUUGUUUGCAGCUGCUCACCAAGAGGUGGUUAGUACAAAAACACUCAGAGGGGAAACACGUGUCCUCAGGGAAGCUGGAGAUGGAAAUAGUUCUCUUGUGAGGAUCACACACACAGGGACUGGAGGCUGCUUGGGGAGUUUCUCCAGAGACCAGAGACUUUUGCUGAAGAUUGUGGGGAGCUGAGCUUUCUCCUGCCUAGAGUUUUGUGGGGAAAACAAAAAGCAGUGUCAGAUGUGGAGUUCUUACAGAGGAUAAUAUCCUUACACAUCUUCAUUUCCCCAGGCUAAGAGAGGACUGCUUUUCCAAAACAUGGAUAAGCCAGCUAUGCUACUGUACCAGUUCAGUUGUUUCCAGCUAUAGGCAGAGAUCCAGAGGCAUUCUGGAUCCAUAAGGUGCAUUCUUGAUUCCAAAAGAAGGAGUCUUUCCCUUUAAGCCUGCUUAUUUCUUCAAUCUUAAAACAACUAACCUGAAAUACUCUUAUUUCUUUUAAGCUCUGCUUCUCAAUUUGCUUUUGAAUUGCUUUCAUCUAGAGUGUGAAAUUCCAAAUGACUGCAAAAAAAGCUGUCUGAGGAAUAUUCUUGGCAGUCCUGCUAGCAGAGAGUACAGGAAACCUCACAAGAGAGUUGGUUCCAGCAGCGCUGCCAUCCACGUUUCACAGCUGCAGGGACAUUCAGAGCAAAUCCAAACACUGGCUUUCCCUUCAGCAGAGCCACAGUUACCCAGGACACAUCCCUGCAAAUGUCCAGGGCCAGGCUGGAUGGGGAUUGGAGCCACCUGGUGCAGUGGAAGGUGUCCCUGCCCAUGGCAAGGGGUGGCUGGAUGGCCUGUAAGGUCUCUUCCAACCCAAACUGUUCCGUGCUCCUGUGAAAACACUUGCAGGGGCCCCUUGAGCUGCUCAGCAGCUCUGCAUGGGUACAGCGGCCUCAUCUGUGCAUGAAACACAUUUUCUGUUACUGGUGCAAGCUCUUGAAUAUCCCCUGAUCUGCAAUGUCCUUGAGAUGGAAGGGGCCCUCAGCACCCCAUUCUGGGCCGGAGAUUCUCCCUCUGGAGGAGAUGCCAUGGAGGAGCCCUGAGGCUGCCCUGGCAGGCCAGGCCUUGGUGGCUUUGCCUUGAAAACAGAGAGGCCUUCAUUGUGUCAGCCCCAAGAUCUGCAGGGAGUGAGAGCAGCUCAGAGCUGCGCUGCUGCCUGCACCCUGUGCUGUGUGUUCCUGGGAUGGUGCAGUGCUGUGUGCUCCUGGGAUGGUGCAGGGCCUCAGUCUAGCCUUGGCUAAGCCGUGCUGUGCAGUAUUCACAGGGAACCCCCGGUGAAGGAAGGAAUGAUGAGGAGGACUUCAUUUUAUUAAAGGUUAAUUCAUUAUUUCAUUAUACCAUAUUACACUAUGUUACAUCACAUCUAAACUGAAUCUGCCAAGCACUCAACUCUGCACACACUGCACAGAAUUUCAUGAUUGUCAGCCCACAGUCCUGACACACACACACACACACACACACCUGGCCCUGAUAGGCCAAGGAAGCAAAACCCCAUCACUGUGGGUAAACAGUCUCCAUAUUGCAUUCUACUUUGGCACAAACACAGGCACAGCAAAUGACAACAAUAAUUUUGGGAAGAAUUGUGCCUUGCUUUUCUGUGUGAAGAGAAAUGUGAGUGUGCAGUGCUGCAGCUUUGGGGCUCCUCAGUGUGCCCCCAAGGGCAAGGUAACACAGGCCCUGCAGCCAGGGCUGCACCCUCACACCUGUGCUGGCAUCGCUGCCCUGCUCUUGGGCCUUGAUCUCACCUGGCCUUCAGGUCUGCAAUAGGACCAGCACUUUGGAGGCCAGUUACUUUCAGUGUUAUUUUGCUUUUAAGCAGUACAGGUGUUAUUUGUUCAUGGGUUUCACUAAAUUUUCUCAUUUCUCUACUGGAAAUGACAGAUUUUUUUUCUGAUCCUGGCAACUGCAAUAACCACAUAACCCUGAACCUGCUAUUUAACCCACUGAUGUUGAUUUAGGUGAAACCAUCAAACAGGUCUCAUACAGUUUAAAAAAAUACCAUUUAUAGCAGUGUGUUUGUGAAUACUGUGAACAGUGAGGUGCGACAGGAAAGACUUCAUCAGGAAUUUUUAUGCAGGACUCUGACUUAGCAUUUUCUAUCAUAUAAUAUUGGAAUAAUACAACUUUCUUGAGGAAGAUUAAUUGCUGAGUAGAAUUUCAGAAUGGACUAAAACUGGAAUAAAAGUCAACUAAUAUGCUUCUGACA